AUUAAUUGGCCUUGUUGCUUAUUAUUGCUUGAGAAGCUUAAUUAUUACAAUUGACUUACCAAUUGUUAUUAAUUAAUGUACUGAUGAUCCAUAAUGGAGAAUAGAGGGUUGAAGGAAUCUCCACAAUUAACAAAUUCGUAAUUCACUGUAAGAUGACCUUGUUCAUAUCCCUUCCCAUCUGUGUCCAAUUUACGGAAGACAUUCACGUCUAAAUCUAGUCCUCCAUUACUACACUGAUC
This 239-nucleotide unclassified non-coding RNA is filed under the name Hevea brasiliensis (rubber tree). The record is from RNAcentral. Lineage: Eukaryota; Viridiplantae; Streptophyta; Magnoliopsida; Malpighiales; Euphorbiaceae.